Molecule: long non-coding RNA, 256 nt
Filed under: Ficedula albicollis (Collared flycatcher)
Lineage: Eukaryota; Metazoa; Chordata; Aves; Passeriformes; Muscicapidae
Description: lncRNA (ENSFALG00000026705.1)
Source: RNAcentral
AAAUAUUUGCAACGCUGGAUCAAACAUGCCAGGUGCACGUCUGAAAAACGGUGAAAACUGAAGUUUUUUAGUAAAACUUUUUGCUGAGGAGCAGAUCAUUCACUGAAAUUACCAGAACAGAGUGCUCAUUAAAUUGUACUAAUUUUAAUGCCUGAAGUACGGUAAAAAGCCUCAUACUUCCUAAGUAAAAAUUUAGCACAAACAGAUCCAUGUGGCUCUUCCUGCUCUGCUCUUUCUUGCAUGAUGUCAGCAGAAG